CCUACGGGAGGCAGCAGUGAGGAAUAUUGGUCAAUGGACGAGAGUCUGAACCAGCCAAGUAGCGUGAAGGAUGACGGCCCUACGGGUUGUCAACUUCUUUUGUCAGGGAGCAAUUGGGUCCACGCGUGGGCUUAGCGAGAGUACCUGAAGAAAAAGCAUCGGCUAACUCCGUGCCAGCAGCCGCGGUAAUACGGAGGAUGCGAGCGUUAUCCGGAUUUAUUGGGUGUAAGGGGUGCGUAGGCGGAAUAUCAAGUCAGCGGUAAAAAUUCGGGGCUCACCCCCGUCGUGCCGUUGAAACUGAUGUUCUUGAGUGGACGAGAAGUAUGCGGAAUGCGUGGUGUAGCGGUGAAAUGCAUAGAUAUCACGCAGAACUCCGAUUGCGAAGGCAGCAUACCGGCGCCCAACUGACGCUGAAGCACGAAAGCGUGGGUAUCGAACAGGAUUAGAUACACGGGUAGUC
This 460-nucleotide ribosomal RNA is filed under the name uncultured bacterium. Its description in RNAcentral is "partial 16S ribosomal RNA". It matches the Rfam family "Bacterial small subunit ribosomal RNA", at positions 338 to 795 of the family's 1533-position model. The record is from RNAcentral.